Molecule: ribosomal RNA, 462 nt
Filed under: uncultured bacterium
Lineage: Bacteria
Description: partial 16S ribosomal RNA
Rfam family: Bacterial small subunit ribosomal RNA
Source: RNAcentral
GACGAACGCUGGCGGCGUGCUUAACACAUGCAAGUCGAGCGGAAAGGCCCUUCGGGGUACUCGAGCGGCGAACGCGUGAGUGAGACGUGAGUAACCGGCCCUAGACUUUGGGAUAACCCUCGGAAACGGGGGCUAAUACCGGAAACUCCUUCUAAAUCGCAUGACAUGGUGGGGAUAGUUUUUCGGCCGGGGAUGGACUCGCGGCCUAUCAGCUUGUUGGUGGGGUAAUGGCCUUCCAAGGCGAGGACGGGUAGCCGGCCUGAGAGGGCGACCGGCCACACUGGGGCUGAGACACGGCCCAGACUCCUACGGGAGGCAGCAGUGGGGAAUAUUGCACAAUGGGCGGAAGCCUGAUGCAGCGACGCCGCGUGAGGGAUGACGGCCUUCGGGUUGUAAACCUCUUUCGGCAGGGACGAAGCGUAAGUGACGGUACCUGCAGAAGAAGCGCCGGCCAACUACGUG